GUAGGGAAUAUUGGGCAAUGGGUGCAAGCCUGACCCAGCCAUCCCGCGUGCCGGAUGAAGGCCCUCUGGGUCGUAAACGGCUUUUGACGGUGAAGAACCGAAAGGGUGCGCCCUUUUUUGACGGUAGCCGUUGAAUAAGCACCGGCUAACUACGUGCCAGCAGCCGCGGUAAUACGGAGGUUGCGAGCGUUGUCCGGAUUUAUUGGGUUUAAAGGGUGCGUAGGCUGGACGGACAGUCAGCGGUGAAAAGCAGUUGCUCAACAAUUGUCUUGCCUCAGAUACUACCUUUCUUGGAUUGGGAGGAGGUUACCGGAACGGAUGGUGUAGCGGUGAAAUGCAUAGAUAUCAUCCAGAACGCCAAUUGCGAAGGCAGGUAACUGUACCUAUAUCGACGCUGAUGCACGAAAGCAUGGGUAGCGAACAGGAUUAGAAACCCGUGUAGUCC
RNAcentral lists this ribosomal RNA (445 nucleotides) under uncultured bacterium. RNAcentral describes it as "partial 16S ribosomal RNA". It matches the Rfam family "Bacterial small subunit ribosomal RNA", at positions 354 to 796 of the family's 1533-position model. The record is from RNAcentral.